GCCAGACUCCUACGGGAGGCAGCAGUGGGGAAUAUUGCACAAUGGGGGAAACCCUGAUGCAGCGACGCCGCGUGAGUGAAGAAGUAUCUCGGUAUGUAAAGCUCUAUCAGCAGGGAAGAAAAUGACGGUACCUGACUAAGAAGCCCCGGCUAACUACGUGCCGGCAGCCGCGGUAAUACGUAGGGGGCAAGCGUUAUCCGGAUUUACUGGGUGUAAAGGGAGCGUAGACGGCAUGGCAAGUCAGAUGUGAAAGCCCGGGGCUCAACCCCGGGACUGCAUUUGAAACUGUCAGGCUGGAGUGCAGGAGAGGUAAGUGGAAUUCCUAGUGUAGCGGUGAAAUGCGUAGAUAUUAGGAGGAACACCAGUGGCGAAGGCGGCUUACUGGACUGUAACUGACGUUGAGGCUCGAAAGCGUGGGGAGCAAACAGGAUUAGAUACCCGUGUA
Molecule: ribosomal RNA, 445 nt
Filed under: uncultured bacterium
Lineage: Bacteria
Description: bacterial SSU rRNA
Rfam family: Bacterial small subunit ribosomal RNA
Source: RNAcentral